Molecule: long non-coding RNA, 400 nt
Filed under: Struthio camelus australis
Lineage: Eukaryota; Metazoa; Chordata; Aves; Struthioniformes; Struthionidae
Description: lncRNA (ENSSCUG00000016267.1)
Source: RNAcentral
GAGCGACAGAGGCAACAGCGGUCACACCAAGUUGCACCAGGCAAUCUGUGCAGCGUGGUAUAAAACACAGUUGACCUGGUUUCUCUUGAGAGGAAUCCAAUAGGAACAUAGGCGACCUGGAAUCAUUAAAAAGCCAGUGUUGUGUUUUCAUAGCGUUAGCGACACUACCGUGCACCAAUCUGCAUCCUGCAAGAGACAUUCUUCACGACCGCGAACAAAGCUGCCUCACCUAAGGGUGACAUCCCUGCCUCGCUGCCGUCUGGUGAGAGCGCUGCGGCCCAGUGAAGACCAUUCCCCAGCACCACAUGGCGUUAUGCAGGGGAAUCUCCUCCUUCAUCCAGCAACAGUGGGAUGCGUGAAGUUUGGGCCAGGUCCUCACGUAGCAUUUUGCAUCUGUAAA